AUCCUUUUACGUUUUUUAUGUUUUUUAUAAUUUCUUAGUAUAGAUGACGAAGUUGAUUCCUUUGACAAGUCAUCUUCUUCCUCAAAUAACAUUAAUAUAUUAUCUUUACUGUUACCAUAAUAUAAAGGACAUAAAUCUACAUCGACUCCAUAUUAUUAUUAAUAAUAAUCGAUCUAAUUUAUUAUUAACAUUAGUUAAUAUUUCUUUAGAGUCAUGAUUUAAGUCUAAGUUUCUAAUAUCUCGCUAUAUUAUUUACUUUCUCUUCUACAGAACUGACCUUAUUAUAUAUUUUAGAAAAAUAAAAAGAAGUCAUAUCUACUAGACUAUUUAUACCCUUACUCAGAGAUGAAAUAUUAUUUUCAUUUCUAGAGUCUAUAUACAUAAUACGGUUACAAGUUUUAUCUUGAAAUUAACACUCGAUUUGUUCCAUAAUAUUUGUUUCUGGUACCUAAGACCGUCUAUUAUCUUAAUCGUCUUCACACAAAGCCUAACGUCCUCCCUGGACUCAAUGGCAACAAGAAGACAGAAUAACAGAUAUGUGGAUUUUGAAACAAACAGAAAUGUAAAUCAAAGACAAAAACUUACAAUGAAUAUUACGAUAUUAUUUCUCCAGAAAUUCGUUACUCCAGCACCUCUGAUACCAAAUGUUUCUUGCUAAUUGCUAUGGGUUUGGUAGAAAUUGGAUAUGGAACUUCAUCAUUGACAAAGAUUGAGUUAUUUAUAUACCAAGUCAUCUCAUUUGAA
This is a long non-coding RNA of Gossypium raimondii (Peruvian cotton), 744 nucleotides long. RefSeq lists it as uncharacterized. The transcript is spliced from 2 exons. The record is from RefSeq and is a predicted model, not a curated record. NCBI's taxonomy places the organism in Eukaryota, Viridiplantae, Streptophyta, Magnoliopsida, Malvales, Malvaceae.